This 614-nucleotide ribosomal RNA is filed under the name Pseudozyma hubeiensis. Its description in RNAcentral is "eukaryotic LSU rRNA". It matches the Rfam family "Eukaryotic large subunit ribosomal RNA", at positions 72 to 668 of the family's 3401-position model. Lineage: Eukaryota; Fungi; Basidiomycota; Ustilaginomycetes; Ustilaginales; Ustilaginaceae. The record is from RNAcentral.
GGAUUCCCCUAGUAACGGCGAGUGAAGAGGGAAGAGCCCAAGAUUGAAAGCUGGCGCCUUCGGCGUCCGCAUUGUAAUCUCAAGAAGUGUUUUCCGCUUCGGACCAUGCCUAAGUCCCUUGGAAAAGGGCAUCAUAGAGGGUGAUAAUCCCGUACAUGGCAUGGAGCGCCCGAAGCUUUGUGAUACGCUUUCUAAGAGUCGAGUUGUUUGGGAAUGCAGCUCAAAAUGGGUGGUAAAUGCCAUCUAAGGCUAAAUAUUGGGGAGAGACCGAUAGCGAACAAGUACAGUGAUGGAAAGAUGAAAAGAACUUUGAAAAGAGAGUUAAACAGUACGUGAAAUUGCCAAAAGGGAAGGGUAGGAGGUCAGAGAUGCGUCGCAGGAUUCAACCUUGCUUUUGCUUGGUGUUUUUCCUGCGUUGCAGGCCAACGUCGGUUUUGGGCACUGGAGAAGGGUAGGAGGAACGUGGCACCUCUCGGGGUGUGUUAUAGCCUCCUACUGGAUACAGCGACCGAGACCGAGGAACGCAGCGUACUCGUAAGAGCGGGCCUUUUGGCACCUUUACGCUUAGGGCGUUGGCAUAAUGGCCCUCUACCACCCGUCUUGAACACGGACCA